RNAcentral lists this transfer RNA (88 nucleotides) under Bacteroidales bacterium. RNAcentral's name for it is "tRNA-Ser". It matches the Rfam family "tRNA". Rfam says of the family: Transfer RNA (tRNA) molecules are approximately 80 nucleotides in length. Their secondary structure includes four short double-helical elements and three loops (D, anti-codon, and T loops). The record is from RNAcentral. Lineage: Bacteria; Pseudomonadati; Bacteroidota; Bacteroidia; Bacteroidales.
GGAGAGAUGGCCGAGUGGUCUAAGGCGCACGCCUGGAGAGCGUGUAGUCGCCAAAAGUGGCUCGCGGGUUCGAAUCCCGCUCUCUCCG